RNAcentral lists this long non-coding RNA (872 nucleotides) under Malus domestica (apple). RNAcentral describes it as "long non-coding RNA (MDOM_LNC021264)". Lineage: Eukaryota; Viridiplantae; Streptophyta; Magnoliopsida; Rosales; Rosaceae. The record is from RNAcentral.
AGUGCGGCAGGAAUGGAUUAGAAGGAUAAGGCUUCUAGAUGGCCUUGCAAGGUAAGGAAAUCAGGUUUCUAGAAGCUAAGGUGCGGCACUAAGGGAUAAGGAUAAGGUUUAGGUGUCCUAAAUGGAUAAGGUGCCCUAAAUGGAUAAGGACUCCUCAUUUCAUUUGGAAACUUUGCCUAUUAGGAUUAGGAAACCAUGUCUUUGUCUUUCCUUCUUCAUCUUGGAAUCCUUUUCCUUCUUGGACUUGGAAAACAUGUUGCUUCUCUUGAGACCAUUUGGAUUUUGACUUUCCUACUCCAAGUAGGAAACCUUGUUUGAGUAGGAAUCUUUAUCUUCUAGGAAUCCCAAUUUCACUAGGAAACCUACUUCAACUAGGAUUCCAUCUUCAAUUAGGGACUUUCCUACUUCAACUAGGAAACUUGUUAAGUAGGAAACAUCAUCUUCAAAUCUUCAAUUUCGUCAUCCUCUUGGCUCCAAGCAUAUGACAUCCAUUCCAAGCUCAAAUGUGCUCCAAAAGGCUCCAAAAUGCAUCAUUUUGCAUACUUUGCCCUUAAAACCUGAAAAUACAUAAAACUAGCUCAAAAGACUACUUUAACUAAGGAAAAACAACGUAAAUGCACAAGAACAAGCUAACUAAGGCGCAUAAAUAUACUCCUAUCAUGAAGCUGUACUACGAGCACUUUGUGGAGCAUGUUGUGGAGGAGAUCCCACUGCAUGCCCUGGGUUCCCAUGAAGGUUGAUCAAUGUGGCAUCGUCCGGCUGGAAGACGUUAAAGCAAGUGCUUCAAGGGAGGUAACCCAUUUAUUUUGCUUGAAUUGUCAAUAUUUUUGCUUGUUUAAUUAUUUUUGGGGUAUGACUUUCUAUUUUGAAAC